UCGGGAUAACACCUGGAAACAGAUGCUAAUACCGGAUAACAACAGAUGAUGCCUAUCAACUUAGUUUAAAAAGAUGGUUCUGCUAUCACUCUUGGAUGGACCUGCGGUGCAUUAGCUAGUUGGUAGGGUAACGGCCUACCAAGGCGAUGAUGCAUAGCCGAGUUGAGAGACUGAUCGGCCACAUUGGGACUGAGACACGGCCCAAACUCCUACGGGAGGCAGCAGUG
This 227-nucleotide ribosomal RNA is filed under the name uncultured Lactobacillus sp. RNAcentral's name for it is "partial 16S ribosomal RNA". It matches the Rfam family "Bacterial small subunit ribosomal RNA", at positions 138 to 356 of the family's 1533-position model. Lineage: Bacteria; Bacillati; Bacillota; Bacilli; Lactobacillales; Lactobacillaceae. The record is from RNAcentral.